UUUAGACCGUUGCGAGACAGGUUGGUUUCUAUCUAUUGGCGCUGUUGGAUGUCUGAGACUAAGGGGGUGCCGGUACGAGAGGAACGCACUGCCGCGACCUAUGGUGUAUCCGUUGUCUGACAAGGCAAUGCGGAGUAGCUAAGUCGUAAAUGAUAAACGCUGAAUGCAUCUAAGCGUGAAGCAGAAGUUAAAAAUAGACAUCCACUUGCUAGACGAUCUCAUUGUGAGACGAUGGGACUGGUGACAGUAACGUCGAGUCUAGGAACGAGGACUCUCGUAGAAGACGAGGUUAAUAGGCAGGGGGUGUAAGUACCAAGCUCCGGCGAGGUAUUCAGCUCACCUGUACUAAUGUCC
Molecule: ribosomal RNA, 354 nt
Filed under: Candidatus Thorarchaeota archaeon
Lineage: Archaea; Promethearchaeati; Candidatus Thorarchaeota
Description: partial 23S ribosomal RNA
Rfam family: Archaeal large subunit ribosomal RNA
Source: RNAcentral